GGCAUGGCCAGUUAGCUGACACUUAUUUACAUAAAAACCUUGAGGAUUAGGCCCUAAAGGGCCAAUGGGUACCUGGGAACUUCUUUAAAUUCUAUUUUUCUCAGGUUACUUCAAUGUGUGUUUUCUAAAUAGCAAAUUAAGAUUUUGGUGUUUAAGGAAUCACACCAGAAUUGGCCCCAAAUUGGCCCCGUGCCUCGGGUGUGGAGGCAGCACACACAGGUUAGAUGCUCACUGGGAGCUGGACACGCCCCCAGGCUUACAAAGUCACAGGAGGGCUGGAUGGCCCAAGGGCAGCUGCCCCUCCCGGGGCCCCACGUUUCUACCUGCAGGUGGCUUGAGAGCUGGAGAAACCAAAGGGUGACAUGAGAGGCAGCAGCGAGAGGCAAGUAGGAAAUACUGAACCUUGGGCCGGAAAGGGCUGAAUCCAAUCCCCAGUCUACAUCUGCCAGCUGUGUGGCCCUGGGCAAAUGGCUUAAUGCGUCUGAGCCUGUUUCUUCACCUGUGAGAUGGCUGUCGAAGUACCUGUCCUGCUGGGUUGCUGUGACAGGAGAGGGAAUGUGUGGGGAAUGGUUGGCACAUGGCAAUUCUCAGUAAACGGCCCCUAGAACAACAGCUGAAGUCACUGCUGCAGAGGUAACAGUUGCCAGAUACAGAACCGUCCUCUUCCGUGAUCCAAACCCACGCCCCCAAAACCACCACUGACCAGCAAACACCACUCUUUAGAAGACCACCCCCGUUGUCGCGAUCGGAACACUCGUGUAACCCUUUCCACUAGUCUGAGAGGGUGGAAAGCUGACCGGCACGUUUGCGCAUGCAAAAACGAGUGGCCCCCAGCCCCCAGCGACAUUUCCUGGAAUUCACCAUCGGCUGAAGGUGAACUUUCGAAGCUUUGGGUUCGUGAGCCUUCCUUGCUGCCGAAAGGGGAAACCUUCCAGAACGGAGAAGAUGAGUGUCGACAUUGAUGGGACAAAAUCGUAUCGUGAGGAUAAGGAACAGCCACAGCUUUGCAUGCUUGUGAGGGUUAAUUUUAGGAGUGGGCAAAAGGAUUCCAGCUUACGGGAAUUUACAACAAACAACGGUGUGUAGCUAGCUGGGUGGCAAAUGGAAAACUGGGGUGCGGGCCAGCCAUCGGCACUUUUCUGUCCAUGUGAGGAUCUCGUGAGACCUUUCUCCCGGACCAUGAUCAGACCCUACGCUGCAGCCAGUCGACUGAGUAAUUAAAUAACACAAGUUAUAAAACUUUAAAAAGGGGGCAUUUACAGUCAGGGACAUAAAUACGUGCUUUUAAAAGUGUCUACGUACAUAUUUACAGAGUUGCAAGAUCAACCAUAGUAGCCCUGGGGG
Molecule: long non-coding RNA, 1344 nt
Organism: Felis catus (domestic cat)
Lineage: Eukaryota; Metazoa; Chordata; Mammalia; Carnivora; Felidae
Exons: 3
Source: RefSeq, a predicted model, not a curated record